Molecule: transfer RNA, 73 nt
Filed under: Minisyncoccota bacterium
Lineage: Bacteria; Bacillati; Minisyncoccota
Also listed under: 1 other name
Description: tRNA-Val
Rfam family: tRNA
About the family: Transfer RNA (tRNA) molecules are approximately 80 nucleotides in length. Their secondary structure includes four short double-helical elements and three loops (D, anti-codon, and T loops).
Source: RNAcentral
GCGCGCUUAGCUCAGUUGGUAGAGCAACUCGUUUACACCGAGAAGGUCGGGGGUUCAAGUCCCUCAGCGCGCA